RNAcentral lists this ribosomal RNA (375 nucleotides) under uncultured Glomeromycotina. Its description in RNAcentral is "eukaryotic LSU rRNA". Lineage: Eukaryota; Fungi; Glomeromycota. The record is from RNAcentral.
UUGAAAGGGAAACGAUUGAAGUCAGUCAUACCAACGGGAAAUCAACCUUUUGAGCUCGGUCUCGUGGGUUUUGAAGAGUUUCAAAGCCUUCGGAUUCGCGGGAUUGGGAUCUCUCGGUGUACUUUCUCGUACGGUUAAUCAACAUCGGUUUUGAAUGUCAUAAAAUGACUGGAGGAAUGUAGCUUCGAUCUCGUAUUGAAGUGUUAUAGCCUUUGGUAGAUGUGAUGUUUGAGACCGAGGAUUGCAACGGAUACCCUUCAGGGCUAUUCGUCUGAUCUCUGAUACGUUGCCCUGAUGUUGAAAGCUUGCUUAUGAUGUUAGGGUAUUACGGUCAAAAGGUUAGAACGAAUUACAUUCGUUAAGGAUGUUGACGUA